RNAcentral lists this ribosomal RNA (400 nucleotides) under phytoplankton environmental sample. RNAcentral's name for it is "partial small subunit ribosomal RNA". It matches the Rfam family "Eukaryotic small subunit ribosomal RNA", at positions 587 to 987 of the family's 1831-position model. The record is from RNAcentral.
AGCUCCAAUAGCGUAUAUUAAAGUUGUUGUGGUUAAAAAGCUCGUAGUUGGAUUUCGGCGGGCAUUGGUUGGUUUGAAUUGUUUCAACACUGACUAUUUUGCCCGUGUGUUUUGCCAGAAUUUAACGGGUGCUCUUCGCCGAGUGUCUGUUAGAGCUGGCAGGUUUACUUUGAAAAAAUUAGAGUGCUCAAAGCAAGCUUAAUCGCUUGAAUAUUCGUGCAUGGAAUAAUAGAAUAGGAAGUCGUUUCUAUUUUGUUGGUUUUCGGAAAUCGACUUAAUGAUUAAUAGGGACAGUCGGGGGCAUUUGUAUUCAAACGACAGAGGUGAAAUUCUUGGACCGUUUGAAGACAAACUACUGCGAAAGCAUUUGCCAAGAAUGUUUUCAUUAAUCAAGAACGAA